GCAUCCGUAGCUCAGCUGGAUAGAGUACUCGGCACGAACCGGCGAGCGGUCGGAGGUUCGAAUCCUCCCGGAUGCACCA
This 79-nucleotide transfer RNA is filed under the name Salmonella enterica subsp. enterica. RNAcentral describes it as "tRNA-Ser". It matches the Rfam family "tRNA". From Rfam's summary of the family: Transfer RNA (tRNA) molecules are approximately 80 nucleotides in length. Their secondary structure includes four short double-helical elements and three loops (D, anti-codon, and T loops). The record is from RNAcentral. Lineage: Bacteria; Pseudomonadati; Pseudomonadota; Gammaproteobacteria; Enterobacterales; Enterobacteriaceae.